Molecule: ribosomal RNA, 254 nt
Filed under: uncultured bacterium
Lineage: Bacteria
Description: partial 16S ribosomal RNA
Rfam family: Bacterial small subunit ribosomal RNA
Source: RNAcentral
UACGUAGGGUGCGAGCGUUGUCCGGAAUUAUUGGGCGUAAAGAGCUCGUAGGCGGUCUGUCGCGUCGGUCGUGAAAACUUGGGGCUUAACCCUGAGCUUGCGGUCGAUACGGGCAUGACUGGAGUUCGGCAGGGGAGACUGGAAUUCCUGGUGUAGCGGUGAAAUGCGCAGAUAUCAGGAGGAACACCGGUGGCGAAGGCGGGUCUCUGGGUCGAUACUGACGCUGAGGAGCGAAAGCGUGGGGAUCAAACAGG